UACAGAGGGUGCGAGCGUUAAUCGGAAUUACUGGGCGUAAAGCGUGCGUAGACGGUUAUUUAAGUCGGGUGUGAAAGCCCCGGGCUCAACCUGGGAAUUGCAUUCGAGACUGAAUAGCUAGGGUACGGUAGAGGGAAGUGGAAUUUCCGGUGUAGCGGUGAAAUGCGUAGAUAUCGGAAGGAACAUCAGUGGCGAAAGCGGCUCUCUGGACCACAACUGACGCUGAGGCGCGAAAGCUAGGGGAGCAAACAGG
Molecule: ribosomal RNA, 253 nt
Filed under: uncultured bacterium
Lineage: Bacteria
Description: partial 16S ribosomal RNA
Rfam family: Bacterial small subunit ribosomal RNA
Source: RNAcentral